This 82-nucleotide ribosomal RNA is filed under the name Cyrtochiloides cardiochila. Its description in RNAcentral is "5.8S ribosomal RNA". It matches the Rfam family "5.8S ribosomal RNA", at positions 9 to 89 of the family's 154-position model. From Rfam's summary of the family: 5.8S ribosomal RNA (5.8S rRNA) is a component of the large subunit of the eukaryotic ribosome. It is transcribed by RNA polymerase I as part of the 45S precursor that also contains 18S and 28S rRNA. The record is from RNAcentral. Lineage: Eukaryota; Viridiplantae; Streptophyta; Magnoliopsida; Asparagales; Orchidaceae. RNAcentral also lists the same sequence under 3 other names.
GACAAUGGAUAUCUCGGCUCUUGCAUCGAUGAAGAGCGCAGCGAAAUGCGAUACGUGGUGCGAAUUGCAGAAUCCCGUGAAC